RNAcentral lists this long non-coding RNA (322 nucleotides) under Urocitellus parryii (Arctic ground squirrel). RNAcentral's name for it is "lncRNA (ENSUPAG00010014200.1)". Lineage: Eukaryota; Metazoa; Chordata; Mammalia; Rodentia; Sciuridae. The record is from RNAcentral.
CUUGUUCUUGGGCCAGGCCCUGCACUGCUCAGAGAUUUUAUUAUUCUCGUCUUUUCCCUUUUCACAGCCACGUCAGCUCACACAAAGCAAUCAGUAGUCCCUGCCGAUGCCAGCCUGGAGAACUGCAAACACCAUCCUCAGGGUGCUGCCAGCAGAAGAGGCUCUGCCAUUACGCACAGACUGAGCCCCUGCASUGAGGUCAAAGGAAAAGAGACAAUUCCUUUCUCAAGGACUAGUGGACAUGGCAUCCUCUGCCCACCGAAGGCUGGAGCUCAAGCGACCUCAGGAUCCUGUGGAAAAGCUGCAUUAUAAUCGAUAGCCU